RNAcentral lists this ribosomal RNA (432 nucleotides) under uncultured bacterium. RNAcentral's name for it is "partial 16S ribosomal RNA". It matches the Rfam family "Bacterial small subunit ribosomal RNA", at positions 29 to 506 of the family's 1533-position model. The record is from RNAcentral.
AACGAACGCUGGCGGCAUGCCUAACACAUGCAAGUCGAACGAUGCUUUCGGGCAUAGUGGCGCACGGGUGCGUAACGCGUGGGAAUCUGCCCUUGGGUUCGGAAUAACAGUGAGAAAUUGCUGCUAAUACCGGAUGAUGUCUUCGGACCAAAGAUUUAUCGCCCAGGGAUGAGCCCGCGUAGGAUUAGCUAGUUGGUGGGGUAAUGGCCUACCAAGGCGACGAUCCUUAGCUGGUCUGAGAGGAUGAUCAGCCACACUGGGACUGGGACACGGCCCAGACUCCUACGGGAGGCAGCAGUGGGGAAUAUUGGACAAUGGGCGCAAGCCUGAUCCAGCAAUGCCGCGUGAGUGAUGAAGGCCUUAGGGUUGUAAAGCUCUUUUACCCGGGAUGAUAAUGACAGUACCGGGAGAAUAAGCUCCGGCUAACUCCGU